GACAGAGGGGGCAAGCGUUGCUCGGAAUUACUGGGCGUAAAGGGCGCGUAGGCGGGAUGGCAAGUCGGUCGUGAAAUCCCUCGGCUCAACCGAGGAACGUCGAUCGAUACUGCUGUUCUUGAGGAUUGCAGAGGAGACUGGAAUUCCCGGUGUAGCGGUGAAAUGUGUAGAGAUCGGGAGGAACACCAGUGGCGAAGGCGACUACCUGGCCUGUUCUUGACGCUGAGGCGCGAAAGCUAGGGGAGCAAACGGG
This 253-nucleotide ribosomal RNA is filed under the name uncultured bacterium. RNAcentral describes it as "partial 16S ribosomal RNA". It matches the Rfam family "Bacterial small subunit ribosomal RNA", at positions 524 to 776 of the family's 1533-position model. The record is from RNAcentral.